Long non-coding RNA from Tetranychus urticae (two-spotted spider mite), 3237 nucleotides. RefSeq lists it as uncharacterized. Lineage: Eukaryota; Metazoa; Arthropoda; Arachnida; Trombidiformes; Tetranychidae. The record is from RefSeq and is a predicted model, not a curated record.
CUUUUUGUGCUCAUCUUUUGGCUUUUUUUUGUCAUUUUACUGUUGAUUUAUUGAUUUGUACUUUAUUUUUGUUGCUUUAUUUGUAUUUAAUUUGUUGUUUAUUCAAUUUAAUGUUGUUCACUUUCUAUUCCCUGUCUACCUUUUACUUGCUUUAUCAUUUUAAAGUCAACACUUGAUGUUGUGUUGAUAAUGGUUACUUUUUUGCUACCUCACGAUUUGACUUGAAGUGAGAGAAAGACUGAGAAUAUUUUGGUGCUAAUGUUUGACAACAUUGAAAACCUUGGACCUGGUAACAAGCUACAUGUUACCUUUACCUUUUUUUUCACAUUAAGGUGAUUAAUGAGAAUGACGUUGACUCUCUCCUUCUCUCUAUCCAUCUUUUCUCACUAUUUUUUACUUUAACGAUGUUCUCGUGUCUUUUAUCCUGUUUAUCUUCUUCCCCAUGUUCAUCUUUUAGCUGUUACUAUCACUUUUGGCUUUCUUCUUGUUCUUAAAUUUUACUCUUAAAGCGGAUAAAUGUUGAUUCUACUCUUGUACACUUUCUCCUGGUUUUUAUCCCUUUCUAAAUUGAUAAUGUAUCUCGUGUGUGUCCCAACCCUGUGUUUAUAUUAAUUAAUCUCUACUUUAUCUCAUGGAUUGAGACUGGCAAACCAGGGUCAAUUGCAUCUCUCUUGCUCCAUCCUCAUUGUCAAUUGUGGUUAAUAAGGCAAACAACGAGAAGACUACAUGAACACCAAGGGACAGAGAUUUACAUGGAAAUCUUGCAAAAAGAUUACCUUAAGGGCUUUUAAUUUAACCAAGUGAAAUCAAGUCUCGAAUUUAGUCUCAAGCCAAAAACAGAAACUCAUAGGGAGCAAUGGUGAAAAACAGAGAAGAGCUCAAGUACAAGAAAAGACCCAGACCAAAAGAGUCCAGCAAAAGAGAGAGAGAAGGUUACUGUGAAAUAAUUUUUCAUGCCUCUAGCCUCGCCUUGUCUUGUGGUCACCGUGGUUUAUCAUCAUCAUGAUCUUCAUGAUCAUCAUGAUCUUACUCAUCAUCAUUAUUAUAUCAGAAAUGCCAGCCCAAAGAGAUUGUUCAUCUUCUUGUUCUAGGCCAAGCACCUCUCAUCAUCAUCAUGUUUCGUGUCCUUGGGUUGAUUGGAUUCGCUAGUAAAAAAAAGAGGAAAGCUAAACAGACAUUAUAACAACAAAGUCUUACCUGGCUUUGUAGUUAAUUUGGCUUUUUGUCUUAACAAACACAGUAAAAGCCCACAGGGGUUGAUGUCGUUCCUUCAAGACACAAGAGAGUGAGCUUUAAAGGUCCCCAUCCCCAUGUCUUUAUUUCAAGUCAGCCAAUAUUACUGAUCCGCCCAGCAAUAACAACCUGACAUUCUUUGCUUCCAAGCUUCAGACAGUGAAAAGAAGAAGAAAAAUACAUCAGCAUUAAAGUGAUGGGGAGGAAAAGCAAAAAGCAAAAAGGAAAGAAUGGAAAAGCCUAGUUGCAUAAGCUGCAUUUCUUGUAAUAUGAUGUUAAAACCAUUUUAGUGAUGACCUAAAAUAAGUGGUUCCUCUGCCGGUUACCGCAGUUUUUAUCCUGUAAAAGUUAGUAAAUCCUGAACAGUAAAAGCGAGAAGCAAAAAGAUGAAAGUGAAAAACCAAGUUUGACCAGCAAGGAUGUUGGUGAUGCAUAAAAUGAAACCGACAUCACUUUCUUGUUGCCUUUUUUGUUCCAUCUCAUCAUCACAUUCAACAUCUUCUGUCUACUUUCACCAUCUUUUCUCUCUUUUCCCUUUCCUUUUUUUCUUUCUUGAUUAUCAUGAUCAUUGAUGCUUGAUGUAUUAUCACCCCAAAGGGUUCUCUCAUCUUCCUUUUUUUUAACAUCCAUCUCGCGAUACGCUUCAAGUCUAUUGCAAUAGACUUGGGUGCAACCUCCUCAUCACCCUUUGUUUCCCUUUUGAUAGCCUCUUGUUCACUUUUUCAUUUAUCCUUUCCCUUGCUCUUUCUUUCUCUCUUUCUCUCUCUUUUCCUGAUACCAUUCCUCAAGGGGAAUGAAGGGCAACAAAUAAGCAACACCACCACCAUCAACCCUUAUGAUGACCAACUAUUUAUAAACUGACCGCGGUCAUUGCCGUCAAUGGAAUCAAAACCUCGAGUGUGUCUCUUGAAAUAGCUCCCAAAGGCUAUCCUUUAUCCUUUUUAUAUUUAAACACAACUCUAUCCUUUGUUGUUUAUUAUCAUUAUUAUAUUGUUGAUGUUUUUCCUUGAUUGUUCAUCUUGUAGCCUCUCCAACUUCAUCCAUUUUGUAGAUUAUUGUUUUCUUUCAUUUACUCAGUCACAAAAUAUUCACCUCACUAACAUCCUCAUCAGCCUGCAUCGUCAAUGAGAUCAACAAAAUGAUUUUCACUCUUUUAUGGGCAACAAUUGAACCAAUAUCAAUGAGACAUUGGCAUCAACAUAUUACUUCUCAUUCACAUUGACAGUCAAUGAAGACAAGUCAAUGUCUGAUGAUGUUUAUUACAGUACAUUAACUGUAUCCCAAUUGAUCACUAAUUUAUCAACAGUAGGUAUGAAUAGUAAAAAAAAGCUGACAAAAUGAAAAAUUACCAAAUGAUUUAGAGAUGAUGAUCAUGAAAAGCCAGCCAUUUACUAAUUCAAUUUUACGUGCAAAAAAAGCAAGAUGUUUAGGAAGGUUGAUUAUGAGAAAAGCGCGAUUGGCCACAAUCAAUUGUUGAAGCAAAUUAUCAACGUUUGAAUUACAAUUGUUUUUCGCUUUGUUUGUCCAUCAAAUUAUCAUUUGUUUGUUUGCAUGUUGCUUGAUAUAACUUUUUGUUUUCUCACCAGCAACACAAACAAACCAAAUGAAGGUUCAUCUGCGGCUUACGCCAUUUUUACGCCAAUCAUUUUGACUCAAUAACUUUGUAAUUGAUGUUGUUAACUUUGCUUUUUUUUGCAGCCUAAAGAUUGAUAAUAACAAAAGAGACACCUCUAAUUAUAAGAGUAAAGAGGAGGAAGAUGAUAAUGAUGAUGGUGAAGAAGGAGGAAACUAAAAAUGAAAAACAAGGAUGAUCCAUUGUAAAUAUACACUUUGCCAAUUAAUAGUUAUAAUUGUGAUUACAACCUCAGUGGGCUGAAUAGUGUCAAUUGAGCAAAGUGUUUGCAUGUUAAUGGGUGAAUGUGGAUGAACAAAAUGAGUCGACAAUGAAGUAAAUGGAUUUCAAUUUUCAAGACAAAACUAAAUGAGACCGAUCAUUGAUUAUGA